GAAUGAGUAGCUUAUAAUAUUCUUCUCAACAAGCUGAUCUACAACACUGAGCCGACCACGGCCCAACCCCAUGAUUCCAUCAGCACGUUGCCUGAAAAGAUCACCAGUUUCGUCUCUCAUAAGUACAUUGCUUCCCCUCGUCAUCACAGUCACAACUGGGGUUGCACUUUAUAGGUUUGUAGGUGCUAGAUGCCUCUGGUUGGAACCUUGGAUCCUGAUGCUUGCCGCAUUGUUCACAUGUAGAGCACGGAACAUAUGUUACAGUACUGCCUGUAUCCACAAUAAGAGCGAAUUCCUGUGGAGGUGUCCCAAUAAAUAGCCUCGUAGUAUAGUAACCGUUAGAGAGGAGAUCGUCGUAGAGGCGCAUACGAGCGUUGGGGAGGUCAGAAUUUUGGAGUUGCCGCCUGUUAUAGUCGCUGCUGAAUACUUUACGAUGAGAGGAAACGUUAGGGGUUGAGAGAUGGAGGGGAAUUAUCACCGGGAGCCUCUGAUUGUCGAAAUCGAGAGCUGAAGAAACGAAGCCUUGAAUGAUUAACAGAAUCAACGAGUAAUAGAGGAUGGAAGAGCGCGGCCAAGCCAUGGCGGAGACAACAGUCAACGAAAGAUGAGUUGGAAACUGGUAGAGAGGAUCGAAGAAAGAAGUAAUGGCAAAUGGCUGCAAUUGUCGGUAGAGUAACUAACCAAUCAAAAGGAAU
RNAcentral lists this unclassified non-coding RNA (695 nucleotides) under Hevea brasiliensis (rubber tree). The record is from RNAcentral. Lineage: Eukaryota; Viridiplantae; Streptophyta; Magnoliopsida; Malpighiales; Euphorbiaceae.